CGCUAUCGAUAGGCUUAACACAUGCAAGUCGAGGGGCAGCAUGAUCUUAGCUUGCUAAGGUUGAUGGCGACCGGCGCACGGGUGCGUAACGCGUAUGCAACUUGCCUUACAGAGGGGGAUAACCCGUUGAAAGACGGACUAAAACCGCAUACACUUGUAUUAUUGCAUGAUAUUACAAGGAAAUAUUUAUAGCUGUAAGAUAGGCAUGCGUCCCAUUAGCUGGUUGGUGAGGUAACGGCUCACCAAGGCGACGAUGGGUAGGGGAACUGAGAGGUUUAUCCCCCACACUGGUACUGAGACACGGACCAGACUCCUACGGGAGGCAGCAGUGAGGAAUAUUGGUCAAUGGGCGAUAGCCUGAACCAGCCAAGUCGCGUGAAGGAAGACAGUCCUAAGGAUUGUAAACUUCUUUUAUACGGGAAUAACGGGCGAUACGAGUAUUGCAUUGAAUGUACCGUAAGAAUAAGCAUCGGCUAACUCCGUGCCAGCAGCCGCGGUAAUACGGAGGAUGCGAGCGUUAUCCGGAUUUAUUGGGUUUAAAGGGUGCGUAGGUUGUUCGGUAAGUCAGCGGUGAAACCUGAGCGCUCAACGUUCAGCCUGCCGUUGAAACUGCCGGGCUUGAGUUCAGUGGCGGCAGGCGGAAUUCGUGGUGUAGCGGUGAAAUGCAUAGAUAUCACGAGGAACUCCGAUUGCGAAGGCAGCUUGCCAUACUGCGACUGACACUGAAGCACGAAGGCGUGGGUAUCAAACAGGAUUAGAUACCCUGGUAGUCCACGCAGUAAACGAUGAUUACUAGGAGUUUGCGAUAUACCGUCAAGCUUCCACAGCGAAAGCGUUAAGUAAUCCACCUGGGGAGUACGCCGGCAACGGUGAAACUCAAAGGAAUUGACGGGGGCCCGCACAAGCGGAGGAACAUGUGGUUUAAUUCGAUGAUACGCGAGGAACCUUACCCGGGAUUGAAAUGUAGAUGACGGAUGGUGAAAACCGUCUUCCCUUCGGGGCUUCUAUGUAGGUGCUGCAUGGUUGUCGUCAGCUCGUGCCGUGAGGUGUCGGCUUAAGUGCCAUAACGAGCGCAACCCACACCGGUAGUUGCUAACAGUUUUCGCUGAGGACUCUACCGAGACUGCCGUCGUAAGGCGUGAGGAAGGUGUGGAUGACGUCAAAUCAGCACGGCCCUUACAUCCGGGGCGACACACGUGUUACAAUGGGAGGGACAAAGGGCAGCUACCGGGCGACCGGAUGCGAAUCUCUAAACCCUUCCCCAGUUCGGAUCGGAGUCUGCAACUCGACUCCGUGAAGCUGGAUUCGCUAGUAAUCGCGCAUCAGCCAUGGCGCGGUGAAUACGUUCCCGGGCCUUGUACACACCGCCCGUCAAGCCAUGGGAGUCGGGGGUACCUGAAGGGCGUAACCGCAAGGGGCGCACUAGGGUAAUACCGGUGACUGGGGC
This 1447-nucleotide ribosomal RNA is filed under the name uncultured organism. Its description in RNAcentral is "SSU rRNA". It matches the Rfam family "Bacterial small subunit ribosomal RNA". The record is from RNAcentral.